This 571-nucleotide long non-coding RNA is filed under the name Homo sapiens (human). RNAcentral's name for it is "HSALNT0178235". Lineage: Eukaryota; Metazoa; Chordata; Mammalia; Primates; Hominidae. The record is from RNAcentral.
GCAGAUCACAAGGUCAGGAGAUCGAGACCAUCCUGGCUAACACAGUGAAACCCCGUCUCUACUAAAAAUACAAAAAAAAAUUAGCCAGGCAUGGUGGCAGGCGCCUGUAGUCCCAGCUGGAGGCUGAGGCAGAAUGGUGUGAACCCGGGGGGCGGAGCUUGCAGUGAGCCGAGAUCGCGCCACUGCACUCCAACCUGGGCGACAGAGUGAGACUCCGUCUCAAAAAAAAGUGGUGCUGGACAUGCAGUCCCACUCACUAGACAUUUUGGAGCAUUACGUGGAAAUGCCCAUCCAGCGGUUGGAGAGGUAGGGUAGGAUCUGAAGAUCUCAAGCCUCGGAAGCACAGAUUUAGGAGUCACUGACUUAGAGGUGGUAGUUUCAAGUGACGUGAUGGUUAAGUUCACCAAGAGAAAAAGUUUAGAAAGAAAAAGAGCUGAGCCUUCUGCCCUAUUUUUUAGAAGAGGGUUUCUGAGAGCCUGGGUAUUCAAAUGAUAAGAUGGGUGUGUGGUGCAGGGACAAGACUUCAGUCAGAGGACCCAGGGUCUCUGCUUUAGCACCAUCUUGCUGUGUG